Molecule: unclassified non-coding RNA, 194 nt
Filed under: Ceratitis capitata (Mediterranean fruit fly)
Lineage: Eukaryota; Metazoa; Arthropoda; Insecta; Diptera; Tephritidae
Description: probable serine hydrolase, transcript variant X1
Source: RNAcentral
CGACAAAAAAUUCAUUUUGCAAAGAAAUUAUUUUCAAGAAGAUGUACUUCAGGUUUUUCACAGAAAGAUGAAAGUUACGUCACAAGACAUGACUUCUUAAUUGUUUAGUUUGAAGAAAUAUCUAUUUCAGUGCCGUGGGGUCAUAUUAAUGGGAAAUGGUAUGGACCUAACAAUGUUCGCCCUAUACUUGGAUU